GGGGCGUUAGUUCAGAUGGUAGAAUAUUUCAUUUGCAAUGAAAAGGUCGGGGGAUCGAUGCUCCCACGCUCCA
RNAcentral lists this transfer RNA (73 nucleotides) under Pseudomonadota bacterium. RNAcentral describes it as "Proteobacteria bacterium (activated sludge metagenome) tRNA-Ala". It matches the Rfam family "tRNA". Rfam says of the family: Transfer RNA (tRNA) molecules are approximately 80 nucleotides in length. Their secondary structure includes four short double-helical elements and three loops (D, anti-codon, and T loops). Lineage: Bacteria; Pseudomonadati; Pseudomonadota. The record is from RNAcentral.